UUCCUUAACACUGUUGCCAUUGUUUACAGUGCAACUGCAGCAUUGCCUUUCGGCACCAUUGUGGUAAUACUCCUUAUAUGGACGUUAGUAACGUCACCAUUGCUUGUGUUGGGUGGUAUCGCUGGAAAAAACAGCAAGGCUGAAUUUCAAGCCCCCUGCCGAACCACAAAAUAUCCUCGCGAGAUCCCACAAUUGCCUUGGUACAGGAG
RNAcentral lists this unclassified non-coding RNA (209 nucleotides) under Hevea brasiliensis (rubber tree). Lineage: Eukaryota; Viridiplantae; Streptophyta; Magnoliopsida; Malpighiales; Euphorbiaceae. The record is from RNAcentral.